This is a long non-coding RNA of Nothoprocta perdicaria, 701 nucleotides long. RefSeq lists it as uncharacterized. Lineage: Eukaryota; Metazoa; Chordata; Aves; Tinamiformes; Tinamidae. The record is from RefSeq and is a predicted model, not a curated record. The transcript has 6 exons.
UUGCUCUUACCGAAUGCCGAGCUCCUGGGUAUAAUUUCAGUUUCUAUGUUUGUCUUGUGGACAUUUAUACAAUUAGCAUACAUAYGGAUUCAGAAACUACAGUGCAAGGCUGAGCUCAUAGCUGUGAACCUGAGCCAAUACUCAAGUGUAAGUCUCAGAAGGGACCUGGUCUGAGUUUCCUGAUCUCGGAGGUCUUUGCAGGAAAAGAUAACUGGAGAAUAAAUAGACAACCGCUGAGGAGCUGAAACACUGGAAAAUUACCCAGUAUCUUCACUGGUGUCUUCUGCUGAUCCACUUUUCAUGCUGUUUGUGAAAGACAGUGGGAAAAAUAUUUUGUGGGAUAAGCAAGCUGGUAACACAAAAGAUGUCUUCUCUUAUAGCUUGGAGAUGAUGAAAUUAGGAGACUUUUACAUGCAAUAAACACUGAGAUGCAGAGAUAUGAAGAAGUGUUGCAAAGUGUAUGCAUCUAGUUUGAUCCCCUGCAUGUGUCUGGAAAGCAAGACUCCUUUGGUCCCAAAGACUCCUCAGGAUCAUCCCCUGGAAGUGCUACCGUAAUGGGUCACUGAUAAAGGGGCUUCAUGUUUUUCUCUGAGCCUUUUCCUUGGCCCUUUUUGCAGAGGGAUUUGGUUCCUAAAUGGAUCAAGGUUUGUUUCCGCAUUCUAGGCUGUUACCCUGCACACUGACCUCUAUACGAAGGCCAG